UGCAUUUCACGUAUAAUUGAUCAAUGUCAUAUAAGUAUUUCUACAUAUACUUUGUAAGCGUCUUACUGGACCAACUUUUUUUUUUUCGAGAAUAAUUCUGACACUCGUAAGCUACUCACAAAAACUUAUACUCAGAAUUAAUUUUAGCUUUGGAAUCAAUUAUAGAAGAGCUUUGAAACAUGGAUUUAAAGUAAGAACUUUAUAGCUUGCCUGAGUACUACAGCCAUGAGAAAGGUCAGAGCUGGAACAGAGUUCUGCAUAGCAGCAGCAAAGGUAGGUGAAGUGUUAUCCAAACCCAAAAGGUAGAACCCUUCUUUCAAUGUUAUUCUGCAAGAAUCAAAAUUAAUACUUUUUAAGUUACACAAACAUUGCCAAUUAAUUGAUACAGUGGAGUAGCUUCAUGGAAAGAUCAUACAUACCCAACAAGUCCUAGAAGGAAAAAUUGGACAAGACAAUAUCUGGUUAUUGAUGGCCUGUCUUUCCUUGCAAAGAGGCAAACAAUAAGAUCCAAAAAAGAAAAAGAAAAAGGUAAGAUAGCUGAAACUGGGAACAUGACAGAAUUCAUUUAUAUAUGGUAUAGAACUGAAGUGCAUACUUCUCUGAAAAAUAAGCUAAGGGACCCAGAAGAAGAAGAGCAGUGAUGUUUCUAUAGACAGGAAAUACAAGCUUGCUGACGCCUGAAUCAAGUGCAAUCCUCACAAAUAUGUGGUUUCCUGCAUAACAAAAUUGCAAAAACGUUAAAGCUAAGUGCAGCUUAGCUCGUUCAGCUACCAUAUUCUCUUGUUCCCAGGUACUGAAUAGUGAAUACUGAUGGUUCAAUGCCAAAAAGAGAAGCAGGUACUCGGAGAUCAAUGUUUAGAACUGGUUGACCAGGGGCAAGAGGCAAAAACUGUCUGGAAGUGGAAGAUAAGAGAUCUAUAAUAAUUGCAAUCUUGUUUAGUUCUACCUUCUUGUAAGUGGUGACAAAAGAAAACAAAGUGCAACGUGUUUAUUAGUAAUCUAUAAAUAAUUUCUGUCGCUUCAUGGUAAAAAGUGUUAAUGGACACUCUAAUAAUCUACUGUUAGUAAUUGGAUUGCUUGCGUGCAUGUGAUUGUGAUGCGCCAUUGAAUAUUAGCUACACUCCUCAAUCCAAUCUUUCAUCCACUCCAUUUCACCCCAAAGUGAAGGAAGGGCAUUUGAAGUCAAAGCCUGACAUGUUGCAAUAGCUCAAUCACUCCAUGUUUACUGUCAAAAUAUUAAUAAAAAUCAAUCCAUGUUUUCCCAUAGAACACCAAUUUGGACCAACACGCCUGUAACCAACUAAUUAUAAUUAUACAGUUUUUUUCCCCUAGUUAUCCCAAAGCCGAUGGUCAUUAUACUAAUCUCCUCGAGGCAAAGCCUUCAAAGUUUAUUUUGAAUAUUUGAUUGGUUAACCAACCAUGUUAUGUUACUGGAUUUUGAUUCAUUCAGAAAAAUGAUGUUUCCUUCAAAGAUGCCUGAAUGUACUUAUUUUUGUCAACGAUUACUAAAAUCUUAAUUUGAAUGUCAUUUAGUGUUGCUCUGUUAAUAUUCCUUGCUGUCUUCAUUUACCUUAGUGGCUUACCAAGCCCUUCAUUAAAGAUAAAGUGUGUGAGUAGUGGUUAGCUCACUUCGUUCUUUAAGUAUGAUGUUUGAGAAUUUAUCCUUAUUUAUGGAAAUGAACACAUGUUGUGGUAAGGGGUUAUCGUUUUGUAACCAUGGGUUUACCAAAAAAACCAAGCCCCUCUUAUUCUUUCUUUUUUCACAAUAAUACUUAUUCACAAUCAUUACACCCACACCCGAAAAGAGAAAUAAGAGCAAAAGAGUGAUAAAUAUUACAAUGGGUAGAUAUGAAAUAAAAGUAUAAGUGAGGUGUGAAAGAAUAAAAAUACAAUAAUAUUUUUCUACAAGUUGUUUAAUUAUAAAAAAAUUAAGUAUAAAUUACAAAUUAUUGACCAAAAAAAAAUAGUAGAGGGAUGCAAGAAUUAGUGAAACAAAUCAUAUAACGUUGCUGCAACAAAUAAAUGUUGCAUUAGUUGGUCCCCCUUAAAGGACUUUUACAGUUUUACUAUCAUAUAAAUUCUUCAGCUCUAUCAUCUAAACAUUUUGUGUAGGAAUCAAUUGUUGCAUGAGAGAACCACUCCCAAUUUUUGCUUCCGGGUGAUUCUCAGACUCAAUGGGGACUUUCAUGUACUCUUUGGCAGACUUGGUUUCUUGAGUUCUUCCCCACACAACAAGGUAUAAGCCCGUCAUAAUUAAGAAAGCUCCAAUAAUCCUGCACCUCAAAAUUGAAAAUAUUUAGAUUUAUAUAGCAUAAGUCAAAGGCACUUUGGAUAACUAAUAAACAAAUCUCAGAUAAUCCAACUUUUAGUUUAGAACUCCCUCUAGGGGGAAGCAUAUUUUGCAAUUAGAAAAGUUUUAAGAUAACAAAAAGAAAUUGAAGCAGCUUGAAUCAAGACAUCCCACCCUCCCAAGAAGAAAUCUUCUCCAAAAACAAUGGAUGACAUCAAGGCUACAAGUAAUGUCUGUAAAGGAAGAUAAAUUGAAGCAAGCACUGGCCCUCCCUUGCCAAUAGCCCAUAUCUGUAAUGCUGCUGCCAGCCCUGAAAACACCAGACCCUGAUACAAACAAGUCUAUUUUGUUAUCAUCAUAUUUGUUAUACUUGGCUUCCUUAAACAUGUAAUUUGUAACAUGAAAACUAGUUACAUAAUAGAUCCGAACAGUUAAAAUGAGUUUUAUUGAUGUCAAGGUAAUCAAUUAUGAUCACUAAAUUAAGUAAGGAGGUAGAAGCAGCUCAUAGAGAAAACUGAUAUUAGUUGUGAACAUAGAGAGCAACAUGCUAGUGAAUAACCCAACUAAGUUUGAUUUACAAACCGAAUACAAAAUGCUGUAGAUCUCUUGACUAGAAUUGAGUUGCCAGGAUUUGGGAUCCUUCUCGAAAAAGGCUGCAAUUGUUAUAAACUGCACAAUACCAAAGAAGCAAGUAAACGCAGAAACUGUGAGAGGGGCUGAGUAGUUUUUCAGAACAAAUGCUUGCAUCACAAUCCAACCAGACCAACAUAAGCAGUGACCAAUAAGAUAAAUGCCACCCAUGUUCAUGUUUUUUGCUGUGACAUCCCGGAGCACAGACAAGAAUUGCUCCUGAUGCUGUGCUAAAUUUGGCGUAUAAAUCGUAGGCCCCUUGUAAAGGGUAAUGAUUGAAGCUCCUCCAACAGAAGCAAGGACUCCAAGGACCUUAGCCAGACCAUCUAUCCUAUUGAAGUGCACACUCUCAUAUCUGCAUUUCACAUGUAUAAUUGAACAAUGUUAUACAAGCAUUUCUACAAAUAUUUUAAUAUAUGGACCAACUUCUCUUUUAUCAGAAUAGCUCUGACACUCAAAAGCUACUCACGGAAGCUUAUUCUCAGAAUUAAUUUUAGCUGUAGAAUCAAUAGUGAAAGAAUUAUCAAACAUGCACUUAAAAGUAAGAACUUCAUAGCUUGCCUGAGUAUGACAGCCAUGAGAAAGGUCAAAGCUGGAACAGAGUUCUGCAUAGCAGAAGUGAAGGUAGGUGAAGUGUUAUCCAAACCCAAAAGGUACAAUCCUUCUUUCAAUGUUAUUCUGCAAGAAUCAAAAUUAGCAUUUAAGUUACACAUACAUUGUCAAUUUAUUGAUACAGUGGAGUAGCUUAAUGGAAAGAUGAUACAU
This 3685-nucleotide long non-coding RNA is filed under the name Lotus japonicus. Its description in RNAcentral is "long non-coding RNA (LJAP_LNC001422)". Lineage: Eukaryota; Viridiplantae; Streptophyta; Magnoliopsida; Fabales; Fabaceae. The record is from RNAcentral.